CCUACGGGAGGCAGCAGUGGGGAAUAUUGGACAAUGGGCGAAAGCCUGAUCCAGCAAUGCCGCGUGAGUGGUGAAGGCCUUAGGGUUGUAAAGCUCUUUUACCAGGGAUGAUAAUGACAGUACCUGGAGAAUAAGCUCCGGCUAACUCCGUGCCAGCAGCCGCGGUAAUACGGAGGGAGCUAGCGUUGUUCGGAAUUACUGGGCGUAAAGCGUACGUAGGCGGUUAUUCAAGUCAGAGGUGAAAGCCUGGAGCUCAACUCCAGAACUGCCUUUGAAACUAGAUAGCUAGAAUCUUGGAGAGGUGAGUGGAAUUCCGAGUGUAGAGGUGAAAUUCGUAGAUAUUCGGAAGAACACCAGUGGCGAAGGCGACUCACUGGACAAGUAUUGACGCUGAGGUACGAAAGCGUGGGGAGCAAACAGGAUUAGAUACCCUGGUAGUCCACGCCGUAAACGAUGAUAACUAGCUGUUCGGGCUCUACGAGCUUGAGUGGCGCAGCUAACGCAUUAAGUUAUCCGCCUGGGGAGUACGGUCGCAAGAUUAAAACUCAAAGGAAUUGACGG
Molecule: ribosomal RNA, 561 nt
Filed under: uncultured bacterium
Lineage: Bacteria
Description: bacterial SSU rRNA
Rfam family: Bacterial small subunit ribosomal RNA
Source: RNAcentral